Trichoplax adhaerens is the source of this 378-nucleotide ribosomal RNA. It matches the Rfam family "Eukaryotic large subunit ribosomal RNA", at positions 3004 to 3399 of the family's 3401-position model. Lineage: Eukaryota; Metazoa; Placozoa; Uniplacotomia; Trichoplacea; Trichoplacidae. The record is from Rfam.
AAUGUCGUCGUGAUAGUAAUUCUGCUCAGUACGAGAGGAACCGCAGAUUCAGACAAUUGGUAUUUGCACUUGGUUGAAAAGCCAAUGGUGCGAGGCUACCAUCUGUCGGAUUAUGACUGAACGCCUCUAAGUCAGAAUCCGUGCUAGGUACGACGAUUUUUACUUCUAGCGACUGAAGAUGAAUAAGGAUAGAGCUUCGGCUCCUGCGUCCCAUUGUGCGGAAGAGGAGAUAAACCUCGGAUGCCAACAAUUUUAAAUUUUGACGUUGCUAGAAAUAAAUCCUUUGCAGACGACUUAAAUAUAGAACGGGGUAUUGUAAGUGGUAGAGUAGUCUUGUUACUACGAUCCACUGAGAUUAAGCCCUUGUUCUCGCGAUUU